GGCGGGUGAUGAAUGGAAACUUCCUGACAUUUCAAGCUACAACAUCUGAAAGGAAAUGGAAUUUUCCUGAAGCACAGGCAGGAGGUCUCUGUCACAAGCUAUUGAUUUGGAUGUGAUCUUUCUUUUUUUCACUCCACUUUUCCCCCAUCAAAUGAGGAAGGAAAGCUCAAGCAGUUUACUAUUUUGGGAAAAUUGUGCCAUCGUGCUUAGUACAUAGUGUGUAUCAGACUUAAGAAAAGGACAAGAAUGAAACUAUUAAAAAAAUUUCUCCAACUAGCAAUUAAAAGACAAUAGGAAAACUGCUUCUAUGUUUAAGAAAAGAUAAUUUAACUCUUAAUUUUAUUGCCACUUAUCUACUUUUGACCAUAUAUUGAGGAUUCCCCCCACCUUCCACCGCCAGUGGAACUGGGGAAUAAAACAACAAAGAUUGAAGAUGUAAUGGAGAAAAGAGUGGAAACAACUCAAGACAGUGAUGAAGGGGAAUCUCAUGAAAUCAUCUGUGUUGCAAAUCUAGAGAGGUAUGAUGUACUGCAGUGGAGUAACUGGAUGGAUGGAAUUCACCUAAAAGGAGAUAUUCAGGGAAAAACAAAACAAACAAAAAACAAAAACAAAAACAAAAAAUGCUCAAACUAUUACACUAGGUUAUAUAUAUACAUAUUUUCUUUUUCUCUUCCUAUUUUCCUUUCCAAUUUUACGUGUUUCAAAUUUACAAAUAAAAAUUGUAGAUAUUAAAAAAAAAAAAAAGAAAGG
Molecule: long non-coding RNA, 750 nt
Filed under: Pongo abelii (Sumatran orangutan)
Lineage: Eukaryota; Metazoa; Chordata; Mammalia; Primates; Hominidae
Description: lincRNA
Source: RNAcentral